Molecule: long non-coding RNA, 334 nt
Filed under: Lathyrus oleraceus (garden pea)
Lineage: Eukaryota; Viridiplantae; Streptophyta; Magnoliopsida; Fabales; Fabaceae
Description: Pisum sativum (pea) long non-coding RNA (PSAT_LNC033317)
Source: RNAcentral
GGUUAAAUGAAAAUGACUCGCGCGGAUGUCGCAUCCACUGCAUACGUAUCUCAUCUGAAUAUGAGAAUCAGAGUCUUCGUAGCUCGGUUGACCUAUGGGUUGGGGGGAUGUGUGCUCGCUAAGACAUCGCGUCUUAUGCCUACGUAUCUCAUCUGGAAUGAGAAUCAGAGCAAGCCGUAGUUCGGCUAACUACGGGGUUAUGGAUUGGGUUUUGGACGAACGACGUUACUACGCAAUCUACCGGAUGCUCGACCUUUGGAGACUUACUCACCUGUAGUAGAAGGAGUAAACGUGUGUUUAGGAGAAGAAAAAUCAAUGAAGGGUUAGGGUUUGG